UUUUUUUUUUUUUUUUUAAUCUUUGGAUUCAUAGCUUCAGCAUGUCGAGAGAGGCCUCCAGUUCUCGAUUCAUCCAUCGAAAUGCUCUUUCGAGGACUCCACAACCACAAGACGAAGCAAACGAGAAUGAAUUCGAAAACUCGCUGAAUUCAGUUCACUUUCCGCCUCCCAGAACACCACUAAACGCUAUUCCUGAUCCAUCUCAGUAUCACACAGAGAUUCAUGAAUCCGAUUUCCAUUCUAAGGGUAAACUAGAAACAGUUCGAGCUGCUAGAUUAUCAGGCAAGAAAUUUGAGCCUGUCGAUAGAGCUGCAAGUUAUGUGACACCUAGGAUUUCGACUCGUCAUGGUAAAGCGCAUUCGGAGCCAAAUUCUGCGCAGAGUGCUCCGGCGAGGACUGGCUCCAGAGCUUCUCUAGGUGGAGCGUUGGGAGCUUAUGCUGUUGGGCUUGGGGCUAGAAGCACACACUUCGCUAAAGGAAAAGAAACAAGCUCUAUUUACAGGCUUUCAAGAGGGAUUUCCGUAGAACAUUCUGAUUUUUCAGUGGAAGUUCCGCAUUUUGAGCUUGAUGAAGAUCCUUCAUUCUGGGCGGAUCACAACGUACAGGUCCUGAUAAGAAUUCGGCCACUUAGUAACAUGGAGACAGUUGCGCAAGGGUAUGGUCGGUGUUUGAGACAGGAGAGUGCACAGACAUUAGUGUGGCUUGGUCAUCCUGAGACCAGAUUCACCUUUGAUCACAUAGCCUGCGAUACCAUUUCACAGGAAAAGCUAUUCAGUGUUGUUGGGAUACCUAUGGUGGAGAACUGUAUGUCAGGGUAUAACAGCUGUAUGUUUGCUUAUGGCCAGACGGGUAGUGGCAAAACAUAUACCAUGAUGGGUGAGAUAAAUCAGCUGGAAGGCAACCUCAGUGAAGAUUGUGGGAUAACCCCUCGCAUGUUUGAGUAUUUAUUUUCAAGGAUUAGAGAGGAAGAAGAAAGUAGGAAAAAUGAAAAGCUGAGGUUCAGCUGCAAAUGUUCUUUUCUGGAGAUAUACAAUGAGCAGAUAACAGAUCUGUUAGAGCCUUCAUCGACCAAUUUGCAACUAAGAGAAGAUUUAAGGAAAGGUGUAUAUGUUGAAAACCUUACAGAAUAUAACGUGAAGACUGUUAAUGAUGUCACCAAGCUUCUGUCACAGGGUGCUGCAAAUAGGAAAAUGGCAGCAACCAACAUGAACAGUGAAAGCAGUCGUUCCCACAGUGUUUUCACUUGUAUCAUUGAAAGCUGGUGGGAGAAAGAUUCUAUGAACCAUUUUAGGUUUGCAAGGUUAAAUUUAGUAGAUUUGGCUGGUUCUGAAAGGCAGAAAAGCUCUGGUGCAGAAGGAGAUCGCCUAAAAGAAGCAGCAAACAUAAACAAAUCUUUAUCAACUCUAGGAUUGGUGAUAAUGUCUUUGGUCGAUUUAGCACAUGGAAAACAAAGACAUGUACCUUACAGGGAUUCUCGGCUGACGUUUCUACUUCAGGAUUCUCUGGGUGGAAACUCGAAAACAACAAUUAUAGCAAAUGUCAGCCCAUCUAUAUGCUCUUCACACGAAACACUAAGCACUCUGAAAUUUGCCCAACGUGCAAAACUCAUCCAAAAUAAUGCUAAAGUAAAUGAAGAUGCUUCUGGUGAUGUUAGUACGCUUCAGCGGCAAAUCCAACAGUUAAAGGAACAACUGUCCUUUAUAAUAAAGCAUCAUAACCUUUCCACAUCUCUAUCUAGUUGUGUGCCAAAUUUUGAAGAAACUAUAUUGGCUAGCUACCCUGAAAUGUAUAAUUCCUCAAAAGAAAAUAGAGCAAUCGAUGGCCAUAACUUAACAAAUUAUGCAUAUGAGAAGGUAAAAUGCAUGGAAGCUACUUUAGUUGGUUCACUUAGGAGAGAAAAGAAGGCAGAAACAGCACUCCAGAAGUUAGAGGCUGAAAUUGAGCAUGUGAACCAAUUUGCUUUCCAAAGGGAGGAAGAAUUGAAGCGAACAAAGAUGAUGCUAAGAUUUCGAGAAGAGAAAAUUAAACAACUAGAGUUUUUAGUGGAUGGUUCAUUGCCUGUUGAUCAUUAUCUCAUGGAGGAAAACAAAGCUUUAAAAGAAGAGAUUCUGCUACUUCAAGCGAGAAUUGACAAAAAUCCAGAUUUGACACGUUUUGCUUUGGAAAAUUUAAAACUUCUUGAGCAGCUUCAAUUGUUCCAGAAUUUUUAUGAGCAAGGAGAACGGGAAACUCUGUUGGCUGAAAUCUCAGAAUUACGUGAGCAGCUCCUGGACAUGCUUGAAAGAAAGCUCAAAUGCUCCUCUGCAUAUGAGAAUCAGGAUAACAAUAUUUUAGAAGAGUUCGAUGAUUGCAGGAACAUGAAUUCCAAACUGAUGAGAGAAGUAGAAGAAUUAAGAGGGGAACUGAAAAAAUUUUCAAGCUGUACUCAAGCUGCUUUUGAUACUGUAAUGGAUUCUUUUUCCAAGGAUCCUGAGGAAAUUAGGCAUACAGAUAAUUACUCAUUAGUCGAGACAGUAUCUAUUGAAAGUGAGUCUGGAGAUGAGAUGGCAUCUUAUAGGCUGGCUGAUGAUGCAGAUCCCAAAAGUAAAAAUAAUUGGAAGAUGGAUGCUAGAUUCUUAAUUGAAUCAAAGGAAACUGAGCAUACCCAUGUAAUUAAAGAACUGCAACUUACACAGGAGCAGAAUCUCCAGUACAAAGUAGAAACAGAAUCUGUUGGAAGUGGGUGUCUAGAAUUACAAAAUUUAGAGAAGCAGAACAAAGGUCUGGCAAUGGAGGGUAGUGAAGAUAUCAAAAACAUGGUGUUGCAAGCAAAGUUGGAGAAAUUGACUAAAGACCUUGAGCAGGCCAGAUUACUUAAUUGCCAAUAUCAAAAGGAUCAGGCUUCACGAUUAUCUCACCAGCAUCAAGUUGAAUUAAUCCAUGAACAAGUUGAGAUAGAGACUGCAAGAACAAUUCUUCAUUUACAGGAGGAGGUUGCUGCCCUCCAAUUGGAAUUUAAUGAGAAAUUUUGUUGCAUGACCCAAGAAAAUAUGAGGCUAAGAAACACCAUAGAGACUAAAGAGGAAGAAAUAAGGGUGCUUUGUCGGGAGUGGGAAAGGGCAACCUUUGAACUGACAAGCUUCCUUGUAGAAGGUUCAAAAUCCCUAGAAGAUGCCUCUGGUCAGAUUGAAACUAUUAUCUGUUCAUUUCCUCAAGUGAAUGUUUGGAUUAGAGAACAUGUUGAGAGGGCUGCCAGAGCUUGCAUUGACAAGGAGGAAGCAAUUUUACGGCUAGAGAAAAGCUUGGAAGAUGCACAGAAGAUGGUGAUAGAAAUGGAGCUGAAGUUAAAUUCCCUGAAGGAGGCAACAAUGGCUUUGAGCGGAUUUCCUCAACCAGAUAAUGAUCAAAGCAUGGAAGAGGCAAUCAACUUAGGCAUGCUGUUAAACGAGAAGAUCAACGUGAUAAAAAUGCUGGAGAGUAAACUCAAAUGCCAGGAGAAUCACAUUAUUGAAUCAGAAAAACGAGCUGAUGCUGCAUUCCUGGUGAUGAAAUGGCUAUCUGAUCAUCUCAAGGUUUCUUCCAGUCAUGACACUGGAAGAGGUAUUCACAUCUCAAAGCUGUCUUCUCCCACUGAAGUGGGCAAUCAUAAGAUUCUUGAGACUAAAGAUGAUGCUAAUGCUCUGACUGUGGAAGAUAUUGAGGCUCAAGUUGAGUUGGAAAGUUUAGUUUUGGAGUCUGAAAAUGCUAUUAAUUCAUGUUACAUGGAUGUAGAGAUGCAUAUAUCAGCCCUCCAAACAGAUAUUCUUCAAGCUUCUACCACAUACACUAAGUGGGUUAAAGACUUGGUGAAUGAAAUCCAAGAGUUGAAGAGUAAAUUUAUGGAAUUAAAGGAAAAUUAUACGGGCUUUCAGUCUUCUACAAACAAAUUUCAACAAUCAGAAUCACUCAUGUUUCAAAAGUUUGAGAACCAGUUGCAUGUUCUGCGUCCAAUAAGAGAUGAACUUGCUACAAUGAAUGAAAGACUUAAAAUCAUUGAUGAUUCUAUAAACAAAAAAAUAAGUGCAAAUGGUUACGAAUUAAAGGAUGAAUAUUUAGCAGAAGCAGACGGCUGGAGUGCUGACAAUUCUUCGUCAGGUUAUUCCACAUCUGGUUCUGAUUUUUCAAAUGAAAGUGCUAUUUUAGGGAAUCAAUUGGAUGGAUUCUCACACACUUGCAGCUCUAAGUUUCAUGGGAAGAUAACAAAACAGAUGAUGGAUCUGAAACUUCCAACAGGCUCAUCAGUUCAAUCUGGAUCAGCAAAUUCAAAGAAGCUGUUUGAAAAAUUAUGUCAUGAUGAAGCAAUGACAUUCUGCCUGAGAAAAGAGCUGGAUACGGUAUUUGAUGCAUUUAACAAACUCUAUAUUCAACUAAGCACAAUUCUCGAUGAGAAUGAUAUUGUGAAUAUUUCUCACCCAGGAGAGAGGAACAAAAUGGUUCAAUCUUUUGGCUUGAUGAUGGAGAUUGGAGAAGCCUCCUGUUGUAAUGCCAGAAAGGUAGUUGCUGAUGACAAGGUUAGUCAAGCCAGUAUUUUCUUAGGCAAAUGUGAGGAAGCCAAUGCAACAAUGAAAGAGGCUGAUCAUAUGUUGAAUGCAUUGCUAAAAGCAAAUGAAAAUGCAAAACAAUUGAAUGGUAUGUGGAAGCAAGCUAGUGAGGAAAUGAUGAUGGAGAGAUCACAAUUACUUGAAGAAAAUAAGCUCCUUAAGUCUUCCAUAUACUUGAAAGAAGAAGAGAACAAAUUACUACUGGAUGAAAUUUCUCAUGGUCUGGUAGGAGUAGCAAAAUGUGUGUCUUUAUUUGAAGAAAGUUUUCUGCGAGUGCAGAGAGAAGUGGAAGACAGAUGUGAGGUUUUGUAUUCUGAUCUCUUAUCUAUGGGCAAAGAGAUACUCCACUUUGUUUGCAGCUCAAGAUCGUCACUUGAAGAUAUUUUCUCUGAUAUGAUGGAGAAGGAAUUGGCCCUUUCUAUCAUGUACCAUUGUGGUGUAGGAGAGGCUAUCCACAAAAUUCCAUGCUUCAAUUUACAAUCUGGAACUCACCCAUUUGGACAGCAAGAAUAUCAGUUGAUAAUAGAUCCUUUGCAUAAGGUUCGCUCCAGCGGUCAAGAUGACUUUAUGAUUUCUAAUAAAAAGGUCUCUGAGGGAGAGGAAAUGGUCACAGACUUGGAAGGAGAGCUGGGUCUAUCAUGUGAUAAUAUGAUGUAUGAAAAUUUGUCUCUUAAGAAAGAAUUGGAAAGGAAAGAAGUUUUAUUAAAGGGUUUGCUUUUUGAUUUUAGUUUGCUGCAAGAAGCGGCCUCAAAGAAAAAGGAUAUCAAAGAUGAAACUGAAAAGCAAAUUUUGGCUUUGAGUGAAGUUCGACAUGAGCUACAGUUGAAAACAGGUCAGCUUGAUAACCUGCUGGUUCAGUAUAAAAAAGUUGAAGGCCAUCUGGCAGAUACUGAAAAUGCUUUAUCCAUAUCAAAGUCUGAUCUUAUGCAUGCUAAGGAAAGAUUAGAUAUUUUGUCAGGCCAAAAUGAAGAGUUAAGAAUGAUUCUAAAAGAUCUCUAUCUCAAAAGAUCCGAAGCUGAAGAACAACUGGCAGAACAAAAGGAAGUUGUCAGAGGGCUGGAAAAGGAAGUUAUUCACUUAAAUUCUUCUUUUGAGAAAAAAUUGCGCUCUUCGGUUGAAGACCUUGAAGAAGACCUACUUAAGGCCACUAAUGAAAGAGAUCAACUCUGUGAAGAGAUUUGCUUUUUGAAUGAUAAGCUUGAGAUGUCACGUGCAUUAGUAGAUGAAAAUGAAGCUAUUGCUGUUGAAGCUCGGCAGGAGUCAGAGGCAAGUAAAAUAUAUGCUGAACAGAAGGAAGAAGAGGUCAAGAUUUUAGAACAUUCUGUUGAAGAGCUUGAAUGUACCAUAAACGUACUGGAGAAAAAGGUAUAUGAAAUGGAUGAGGAGGUAGAAAGACAUCGGUUGAUCAGGGAAUCAUUAGAACUGGAACUUCAAGCUUUGAGACAGAGAUUGUCAACAGUUGAUAACUUCACUGACAUUGUAGAUGCUGAUAACACAAAUUCUUUACAAAACGAAGACCUUAUAUCUAGGAAAUUGAACAAUGAACUGGAACUUCAAGAGGCACAUAAUCAGAUACGAUUUCUUGAGAGGAACAUUGCAGAAAAGGAUGAAGAGAUCAUGCAAUGCAAAGAGUACAUCUCUGAACUUGUAUUGCACUCAGAAGCCCAGGCAUCACAAUACCAAAAGAAGUAUAAGACUUUGGAAGCCAUGGUUCAUGAAGUUAAAACAAGUUUAUCAAAUUCAACAUCAGCAGCUGCAACACAGGAUAAAAGUGAGAAAAGCUCAAUGAAAGCAAGGGGCUCAAGUUCACCAUUUAGAUGCAUUUCAAGUUUGGUUCAGCAGAUGAAUUUGGAGAAGGAUCAGGAAUUAUCAGUGGCAAGGCUUCGCAUAGGAGAGCUAGAAGCAGUGUUGGCUAGUCGGCAAAAGGAGGCAUGUAUGCUAAAUGCAAGACUAGCAGCAGCAGAAAGCAUGACGCAUGAUGUCAUACGUGAUUUACUUGGUGUCAAAUUGGACAUGACUAACUAUGCGAACUUGAUUGACCAGCACCAGGUUCAAAAAUUAGUGGAGGCAGCUCAUCAGCAGACAGAAGAGUUCCAUGCAAUGGAGCAAGAAAUCCUGAACUUGAGGAGACAGAUUAAUGAUCUCAUCAAGGAAAAAGAGAGUUGCAUGUCUGAAAUAAAUAAGAAAGUAGCAGAUAUACUUGCUGCUCAGAUGACUGUAGAGCAACUACAAGAGCGGGAUCAGUUGCUUUCUGCACAGAAUGAAAUGUUGAAGAUAGACAAAACCAAUCUACUGAGGAGAGUUGCAGAACUGGAUGAGAUGGUGAAAACCCUUCUUGGAACACAAAGUACCCAACAGCAGAUUCAACAGACAUCAAAAAAUAAGGAGAAUGGCAUGUUGAAAAUGGGUGAUGCUGAUUUAACCAAGAGGCUAGCGCACUCGGAAAAGCUUCUUGAUCGUGUGAAUAAUGAACUUGCACAGUACCGCAGAUUUAGUAGAAAUCAUCCACAUGACAAUACCUAUGGACAUGGGACUUGGAAUUAAAACAGAGUAGGUCCGCGGGAAUGGUGCCUUUUUUUUUUUUUCCUAGGUGUCAACCAAUGUCAGAAUAGCUUUUGCAUUCAACCAUCUAUGCCAAAAUUGGGGGAAUUUACAAGGAUUGUGAAUACUUUCCAUGUGGUUUGGCCCCGAGAAAAUGACAAGUACAUAACAAUAUGUGCACGUAUACAAUGUAACUGUGCAGUCGGUGGAUGGUUUUUUAUUUUUCUAUUUGUUUAGAAUUGUGGUGGAGUGGUGUUUUAUGGAUUAAGGGGGGUGUUUUUGUUUACAUUUUGGACGCAAUUGAUAGUUGAUAGAUACUAAAAAAUAUAGUGUUUGGUAAAUUUAAAAGAGUAAACCUAAUAAUUG
RNAcentral lists this unclassified non-coding RNA (7466 nucleotides) under Hevea brasiliensis (rubber tree). Lineage: Eukaryota; Viridiplantae; Streptophyta; Magnoliopsida; Malpighiales; Euphorbiaceae. The record is from RNAcentral.